AGUGGAUGGGGAGCAACCUAUGUUGUGCGUGUGUAAAGGUAGUGCCAAGAAAAGCGAUGAUCAUGUUGAAAAUCAAUUCCCGGUACCCGAAACCGACACAGGUGGGCAAGUAGAGAAUACUAAGGGGCGCGAGGUAACUCUCUCCAAGGAACUCGGCAAAAUGACCCCGUAACUUAGGGAGAAGGGGUGCCACCGAGAGGUGGUCGCAGUGAAGAGGCCCAGGCGACUGUUUAGCAAAAACAUAGGUCUCUGCAAACUCGAAAGAGGAGGUAUAGGGGCUGACGCCUGCCCAGUGCCGGAAGGUUAAAGAAGUUGGUCAGUUUUAGGAUGAAGCUAGCGACUGAAGCCCCGGUGAACGGCGGCCGUAACUAUAACGGUCCUAAGGUAGCGAAAUUCCUUGUCGGGUAAGUUCCGACCCGCACGAAAGGCGUAACGAUCUGGGCGCUGUCUCGGAGAGAGGCUCGGCGAAAUAGGAUUGUCUGUGAAGAUACGGACUACCUGCAUUUGGACAGAAAGACCCUAUGAAGCUUUACUAUAGCUUGGAAUUGUGUUCGGGCUUCCUGUGCGCAGGAUAGGUGGGAGGCGUAGAAGGUAUUCUUGUGGGGAUACUGGAGCCAACGGUGAGAUACCACUCUCAGGAGGCUAGAAUUCUAACUUAAUUAAGGACAGUUUCAGGUGGGUAGUUUGACUGGGGCGGUCGCCUCCAAAGAGGUAACGGAGGCGUACAAAGGUUCCCUCAGACUGGUUGGAAAUCAGUCGAAGAGUGCAAAGGCAGAAGGGAGCUUGACUGCGAGAAGUACAGUUCGAGCAGGGUGGAAACACGGUCUUAGUGAUCCGACGGUGCUGUGCAAGGGCCGUCGUUCAACGGAUAAAAGUUACUCUAAGGAUAACAGGCUGAUCUCCCCCAAGAGUUCACAUCGACGGGGAGGUUUGGCACCUCGAUGUCGGCUCAUCGCAACCUGGGGCGGAAGUACGUCCCAAGGGUUGGGCUGUUCGCCCAUUAAAGCGGUACGUGAGCUGGGUUCAGAACGUCGUGAGACAGUUCGGUCCAUAUCCGAUGUAGGCGUGAGAAUAUUGAGAGGAGCCUUCCUUAGUACGAGAGGACCGGGAAGGACGCACCGCUGGUGUACCUGUUAUGAUGCCAAUUGUAAACGCAGGGUAGCCAAGUGCGGAGAGGAUAACCGCUGAAAGCAUCUAAGUGGGAAGCCCACCUCAAGAUGAGUAUUCUGGUGUAAGGUCACGGGAAGACGACCCGUAAAUAGGCACGAGGUGGAAGUGCAGAGAUGUAUGAAGCCGAAGUGUACUAAUAGACCGUCGGC
RNAcentral lists this ribosomal RNA (1319 nucleotides) under metagenome. RNAcentral describes it as "bacterial LSU rRNA". It matches the Rfam family "Bacterial large subunit ribosomal RNA", at positions 1561 to 2925 of the family's 2925-position model. The record is from RNAcentral.